GGACUAACGUUGGCGGCGUGCCUAAUACAUGCAAGUCGAGCGGAUCAGGGGGCAACUCCUGGUUAGCGGCGAACGGGUGAGUAACACGUGGACGAUCUACCUUUGAGUUAGGGACAACCAGCCGAAAGGUUGGCUAAUACCCAAUAUGACCACGACCCAUAUCACUGGGUUGCGGUAAAAGCCGGGGAUCGCAAGACCUGGCGCUUGAAAAUGAGUCCGCGUCUGAUUAGCUGGUUGGCGGGGUAAUGGCCCACCAAGGCGACGAUCAGUAGCCGGCCUGAGAGGGUGAACGGCCACACUGGGACUGAGACACGGCCCAGACUCCUACGGGAGGCAGCAGUAGGGAAUUUUCCACAAUGGGCGCAAGCCUGAUGGAGCAACGCCGCGUGAGGGAUGAAGGUCUUCGGAUUGUAAACCUCUUUGGGGUGGGAAGAACGAUUUCCGUGUUAACAGCGCGGGGAAGUGACGGUACCACUAGAACAAGACACGGCUAACUCUGUGCCAGCAGCCGCGGUAAUACAGAGGUGUCAAACGUUGUCCGGAAUUACUGGGCGUAAAGGGCGCGUAGGCGGCCUUAUAAGUCAGAUGUGAAAGCUCCGGGCUCAACCCGGGAAUUGCAUCUGAUACUGUAAGGCUUGAGUUCGGUAGAGGAGGGCGGAAUUCCAGGUGUAGCGGUGAAAUGCGUAGAUAUCUGGAGGAACACCCGUGGCGAAGGCGGCUCUCUGGUCCGAAACUGACGCUGAGGUGCGAAAGCUAGGGUAGCAAACAGGAUUAGAUACCCUGGUAGUCCUAGCUGUAAACGGUGAGUACUAGGUGUUGGAGGUAUUGACCCCUUCAGUGCCGAAGCUAACGCAUUAAGUACUCCGCCUGGGAACUACGAUCGCAAGAUUGAAACUC
RNAcentral lists this ribosomal RNA (897 nucleotides) under uncultured bacterium. RNAcentral describes it as "bacterial SSU rRNA". It matches the Rfam family "Bacterial small subunit ribosomal RNA", at positions 27 to 902 of the family's 1533-position model. The record is from RNAcentral.